Molecule: RNA transcript, 3282 nt
Organism: Magnolia sinica
Lineage: Eukaryota; Viridiplantae; Streptophyta; Magnoliopsida; Magnoliales; Magnoliaceae
Exons: 6
Source: RefSeq, a predicted model, not a curated record
GUCCACCUCUCAUAAUUCCUGCUCUGCAAGGUUGGUGUGUCGAAAGCUCCUUUUCCUGUUCCCCUCUUUCCAUCCAACCCCCACUGGAAUCUCUGUAAAAAAAACCCUAGAAUCCGAAAUUCCCAAUCCAUCCCGAGCUGUUCAAAGAAGAAAGGAAAACCUGCAAAAAUGGCAUCGACAGCUAAGAGAAAGCGAGAUCUCACACCAGAUCCAGACGCGGAGGUGAUCGCUCUCUCGCCCGAAACACUAACGGCCAUCAACCGCUACAUAUGCGUUAUCUGCAACAAAGAGUUCCAGCGGGACCACAACCUCCAGAUGCACCUGCGGACACACAACCUGCCGCAGCAGCUGCUGCAGCAGCAGCAGCAGGAGCUGGAGCGGCGGGCGAGGGAGGAGGAGGAAGCGGCAGGCCGGAAGCGGGUCUACAUAUGCCCAGAGCCUACGUGCGACCGGCACGACCCAGCACGGGCGCUUGGCGACCCGACGGCGAUCAAGAUGCAUUACAGGAGGAAGCACGGAGAGAAGAAGUGGAAGUGUGGGCGGUGCGAGCGGGAGUAUGCGGUGGAGGCUGACUGGAAGACACACUCCAAGACAUGUGGUAGGAGCAGGAGGAUGGGGCACCGCUGCGGCUGUGGUAGCGUCUUCUCCAGGAAAAAUAGCUUCAUUGCACAUAGAGCUUUUUGUGAUGCAUUAGCAGUUCCUUCUUCUCCUUCUUCUGGUGCAGAUUCUGGUGCUUUGCCCUUUCGGCAGCAAGAUAAUUGCAGCCAGACGGGGAAAAUUGUGGUUAUUUGCCAAUUUGGUGGGGAGUUCGUGCCAAAUUAUGAUGGGACCAUGUUAUAUAUGGGCGGCGAAGCACAUGCAAUGGAGGUUGAUCGCAACACAAACUUGGACGAUUUUAAGUCCGAAAUAGCUGAGAUGGGAAAAUGUGAUGUAGGUACCUCUUCCAUUAAGUACUUCCUCCCAGGAAACAAGCGAACUCCUAUCACAGUAUCAAAUGACAAAGAUUUGCAACGCAUGAUUGAUUUUCACAAGCAGUCGGCAACGAUAGAUGUUUACAUCGUAGCAGGAGAUACCGUUCAUCACAAUGCUGUUCCUCACAUUGUGUUGAACACAGUUGGCCCAAGGGGAAGCGGGACUGCAAGCAGGACUGCGGUUGUAGACUCUGUCACCCCUAUUUCUUCUACUAUUGCUCCUGCCGACCCUAUUAGGCAGCUGAGGCUAACAAACACCGGGGAGAAAGCUACCAUCGGCGUGGGCCAAGAAUUUGACAGUGCCCAUGACUUCCGCGAUGCGUUACGCAAGUAUUCCAUGGCGAAAUCUUUUGUCUGCAUAUUUGUUAGAAACGAAUCAGGCCGCCUACAUGCUAAGUGUAAAGCUGACGGCUGCCCAUGGCGGAUACACGCAUCCAAAGUGAAGAGUACACAAAAGCUUAGAGUUAGAUCGCUAACCAAUGUACAUACGUGCGGAGGGGUUAGAGGCAACUAUGGCCAUCCUCUGGCUACGAAGCAAUGGCUUGUGAAUAUUAUAAAAGACAAGCUGCGAAGCUUUCCACUGUAUAAAACCCAGGACAUUGUGGAUGAUCUCCACCGAGAUUACGGAGUUAGCUUGAAAUACCAUCAGGUAAGGCAUGGAAAGCAGGUUGCGAAGGAGCAGCUUCAGAGUGUUCACGCACAAACAUACAAUCAUCUGCCUUGGUUCUGUGAGAAGAUAAGGGAGACGAACCCGGGCAGCCGUGUUACAUUGGCCACAACUGAUGACUCGAGGUUCCACCGCCUUUUUGUCUCUUUCCAUGCUUCACAACAUGGGUUUGAGCAUGGCUGCCGCCCCCUUAUUUUCCUCAAUUGGACAUCUCUGAAAGACAUGUAUUGGGGGACGUUGUUGGUUGCAGCCUCAGUCGAUGCAGACGAUGGUAUUUUUCCAAUUGCCUUUGCUAUAGUAGAGGACGUGACUUAUGAUAGCUGGCACUGGUUUCUAGUUGAGUUGAAAUCUGCAGUGUCAAAGACCCGCACCAUAACUUUUGUGUCUGACAGGCACAAGGGUCUGGCAGAAGCCGUGCCUCAAGUAUUUGAGGACAGUUAUCAUGCAUAUAGCCUACGCCACCUCAUAAGGGACUUCCAGACAGAGCUGACACGGUCGUGCCCACAACCGAUGAGGGAGCAGAUGUCGGGUGAAUUUAGGCGGGCCGCCCAUGCUUGCAGGGUUGUCGAUUUCAAUUCAUGCAUUGAGAACAUGAAAAACGUCUCACCAGGCAUCACUGCUUGGGUCCUGGCUAGUACGCCCGAGCAUUGGUCGAAUGUGUACUUCAGGGGUUCACGGUAUGAUCAUGUAUCUGUCCCGAAAAGCAUCACUGAGCUUUUUGUGGGCUGGAUAUCGGAGGAGCGAGAGCUGUCUGUGAUAAAAAUGGUAGAUGUGAUACGGUGUAAGAUGAUGGAGAUGAUUUGUUCACGUCGGGAGGCAGCAAACAGGUGGUCGACAACGCUCACGCAUGCGAUGGAGCAAAAGCUACGGAAAGAGAUGCACCGCUCACAGGUUCUCAAUGUGGUAUCCCAAUCAGGCAGCAUGUUUGAGGUUCGCGAUGACACUGUCAACAUUGUGAACCUUGAGACAUGGGAGUGUACAUGCCAGAGAUGGCAGAUCAUUGGUUUGCCGUGCAUGCACGCAGUUGCGGUCUUUGAUCGGAUGAGUAGGAACAGUUAUGAUUACUGCUCCGGGUACUAUACACUGGACCGCUACCGUUUAACAUAUUCAAAGCAGAUCAAUCCAGUACCGGAUGUAGACAAGCCCACAAAUGAAGAUGUUAGCCUAGGCACAGUCAUAUAUCCUCCCCGUAUCCGUCGCAUUGGUUGUCCGCCACCGGGCCAACGUAGAAAAAGCCAACGGAAAAAGAAGCGGAUUGUUGUAUCACAAGAGAUAGGUAGUUGACUGAAGCCAUUCCAUUCCCUUAGUCAGGCAGGAUGCACUGACUUGCAAAGCAUCUGAAGAAUGGAAGAAGAUCAGUGUUGCAUGCUGGAGGUUCAGGGUAUGUUUGGACGCAGGGUAUUGAAGUGGGAUGAGUUGUGGGCCUCAGCUGCAAAAUGCAAGUUGGAGUCCAAGUAAAGGUAGCUGCCAUUUGAUGGCUACUUUAUCACACUACAAUACUGGGAAGUAUACAUAGAAUGUCCUUUCUUAAUUUCUUCAUGAUUACACUGAAUGUUCUUUAUUCAGGAUUCAAGUUUCCUGCACAUCCAAGCAGAGUCCACUGUUUAUAUGGUCUAGGAAAUGAUGACAUACCCUUUAUUUUUU